AAAACCAUACUUUCAGGGAUCAUUUCUAUAGUUUCUUACUACAGAAGUUUCUCUGAACGUGUAGAGCACCAGAAACCACAAUGCGAAAGUAUGGUGUUCUCUCCUGAAUGGGAAGCCAGCUGCCAUUUGUUGUUCAUGACUGUUCUGCUGUUCUUCUGGAAGAGUAGAGAAGAGGUUGUAGUCUGAGUGGU
This 191-nucleotide small nucleolar RNA is filed under the name Carlito syrichta (Philippine tarsier). RNAcentral describes it as "Small nucleolar RNA U3 (ENSTSYG00000020028.2)". It matches the Rfam family "Small nucleolar RNA U3". From Rfam's summary of the family: Small nucleolar RNAs (snoRNAs) are involved in the processing and modification of rRNA in the nucleolus. Lineage: Eukaryota; Metazoa; Chordata; Mammalia; Primates; Tarsiidae. The record is from Rfam by way of RNAcentral.